Molecule: ribosomal RNA, 437 nt
Filed under: uncultured Glomeromycotina
Lineage: Eukaryota; Fungi; Glomeromycota
Description: SSU rRNA
Rfam family: Eukaryotic small subunit ribosomal RNA
Source: RNAcentral
AGCGUAUAUUAAAGUUGUUGCAGUUAAAAAGCUCGUAGUUGAAUUUCGGGGUUAGUAGGUUGGUCAUGCCUCUGGUAUGUACUGGUCUCACUGAUUCCUCCUUCCUGAUGAGCCGUAAUGACAUUAAUUUGGUGUUGCGGGGAAUUUGGACUGUUACUUUGAAAAAAUUAGAGUGUUUAAAGCAAGCUAACGCUUGAAUACAUUAGCGUGGAAUAAUGAAAUAGGACGUUCGAUCCUAUUUUGUUGGUUUCUAGGAUUGACGUAAUGAUUAAUAGGGAUAGUUGGGGGCAUUAGUAUUCAAUUGUCAGAGGUGAAAUUCUUGGAUUUAUUGAAGACUAACUACUGCGAAAGCAUUUGCCAAGGAUGUUUUCAUUAAUCAAGAACGAAAGUUAGGGGAUCGAAGACGAUCAGAUACCGUCGUAGUCUUAACCAUAAAC